GAUGAACGCUGGCGGCGUGCUUAACACAUGCAAGUCGAACGUGAGAGGUAGCAAUAUCUUGAAAGUGGCGAACGGGUGAGUAACACGUAGGUAACCUGCCUCGGAGUGGGGAUAACAGUUAGAAAUGACUGCUAAUACCGCAUGAAUCCAUGGAUUGGGGACGAAUCGGUGGAGAAAACUACUGGUGCUUCGAGAGGGGCCGUGCGGUUGAUUAGCUAGUUGGUGGGGUAAAGGCCUACCAAGGCGACGAUCGGUAGCUGGUCUGAGAGGACGAUCAGCCACACGGGAACUGAGACACGGUCCCGACUCCUACGGGGGGCGAGCAGUGAGGAAUAUUGGGCAAUGGGCGGAAGCCUGACCCAGCAACGCCGCGUGGAGGAAUGAA
Molecule: ribosomal RNA, 385 nt
Filed under: uncultured bacterium
Lineage: Bacteria
Description: bacterial SSU rRNA
Rfam family: Bacterial small subunit ribosomal RNA
Source: RNAcentral